This 253-nucleotide ribosomal RNA is filed under the name uncultured bacterium. Its description in RNAcentral is "partial 16S ribosomal RNA". It matches the Rfam family "Bacterial small subunit ribosomal RNA", at positions 524 to 776 of the family's 1533-position model. The record is from RNAcentral.
UACAGAGGGUGCAAACGUUGUUCGGAAUUACUGGGCGUAAAGCGCGUGUAGGCGGCCCUGCAAGUCGGAUGUGAAAUCCCACGGCUCAACCGUGGAAGUGCAUUCGAAACUGCAGGGCUAGAGUCCUGGAGAGGAAGGUGGAAUGCUUGGUGUAGAGGUGAAAUUCGUAGAUAUCAAGCGGAACACCGGUGGCGAAGGCGGCCUUCUGGACAGUGACUGACGCUGAGACGCGAAAGCGUGGGGAGCAAACAGG